Molecule: long non-coding RNA, 469 nt
Organism: Sander lucioperca (pikeperch)
Lineage: Eukaryota; Metazoa; Chordata; Actinopteri; Perciformes; Percidae
Exons: 3
Source: RefSeq, a predicted model, not a curated record
UGCAGACUGUCCAGGAUCUCUCCUUUUCCCACAUCGCUGUCUCCGACCAGGAGGAACUUGAGCAGUGCUGUGGAGAUAGGUCUGGCAAUGCGAGACUACUUCACUUGUGACCCGUCUUACCAGAGUGAAGACCAGGUAGUAGAGCGCUGUGGUGGGCAGCAGGAAUAGCAGGACGGUGAACAGCAGCGUCCCAAUGAAGAGCUGAAACACCACAGAACACACUCACAGUAAACACGGAGUGUGUACCAACUGAGGCAGCCUGAAGAAAACAACGUGAGGCACUAAAUUAUUUUUUAUAAGCAUCUGACCCAGUUACACAACAGUGACGUAAAACAAAACAUCCUGUUCUGCAAGUCGGAUUCAGAUGAUUUAUGUAUUGCCGUACCAGUUAUAAUUAAAGGGAUAAUAAGAAUGGCGUGUGCUUUUGAAUGUAGCUGUUAUGCUGCUGCAUAAAUACACUUUUUCUGUU